GUAAGCUACUAAGAGCGAAUGGUGGAUGCCUUGACUGGUAAAGGCGAUGAAGGACGUACUAGACUGCGAUAAGCUACGGGGAGCUGUCAAGAAGCUUUGAUCCGUAGAUUUCCGAAUGGGGCAACCCAAUGUAUAGAGAUAUACAUUACCUAUAUAGGAGCGAACCGAGGGGAAUUGAAACAUCUUAGUACCCUCAGGAAAAGAAAUCAAUAGAGAUUGCGUCAGUAGCGGCGAGCGAAAGCGCAAGAGGGCAAACCCAGUGCUUGCACUGGGGGUUGUAGGACUGCAAUGUGCAAGAGGUAAGUUUAGCAGAACAUUCUGGAAAGUAUAACCAUAGAGGGUGAUAGUCCCGUAUGCGAAAAACAAACCUUAGCUAGCAGUAUCCUGAGUAGGGCGGGACACGAGGAAUCCUGUCUGAAUCCGGGUCGACCACGAUCCAACCCUAAAUACUAAUACCAGAUCGAUAGUGCACAAGUACCCGUGAGGGAAAGGUGAAAAGAACUGAGUGAUCAGAGUGAAAUAGAACCUGAAACCAUUUGCUUACAAUCAUUCAGAGCCCUAUGUAGCAAUACAGGGUGAUGGACUGCCUUUUGCAUAAUGAGCCUGCGAGUUGUGGUGUCUGGCAAGGUUAAGCAAACGCGAAGCCGUAGCGAAAGCGAGUCUGAAUAGGGCGCUUAGUCAGAUGCUGCAGACCCGAAACGAAGUGAUCUAUCCAUGAGCAAGUUGAAGCUAGUGUAAGAACUAGUGGAGGACUGAACCCAUAGGCGUUGAAAAGCCCCGGGAUGACUUGUGGAUAGGGGUGAAAGGCCAAUCAAACUUCGUGAUAGCUGGUUCUCUCCGAAAUAUAUUUAGGUAUAGCGUUGUGUCGUAAUAUAAGGGGGUAGAGCACUGAAUGGGCUAGGGCAUACACCAAUGUACCAAACCCUAUCAAACUCCGAAUACCUUAUAUGUAAUCACAGCAGUCAGGCGGCGAGUGAUAAAAUCCGUCGUCAAGAGGGAAACAACCCAGACUACCAGCUAAGGUCCCUAAAUCUUACUUAAGUGGAAAACGAUGUGAAGUUACUUAAACAACCAGGAGGUUGGCUUAGAAGCAGCCAUCCUUUAAAGAAAGCGUAAUAGCUCACUGGUCUAGUGAUUUUGCGCGGAAAAUAUAACGGGGCUAAAGUAAGUACCGAAGCUGUAGACUUGCACACAACUUAGAUUAUUUAAGUUUAGAAUAUGAGAAACUAAGUUAUAUGUUUAGUUAUAUUUUUACUGAUUUUUAUAGAGUAAAGAUAGAAAUAAAACUUAGUAAAAUCAGUAAAAAUAUUCUUAGACUAAAGUUAAGUAGUUUAAGUUGUGUGCAAGUGGUAGGAGAGCGUUCUAUUUGCGUCGAAGGUAUACCGGUAAGGAGUGCUGGAGCGAAUAGAAGUGAGCAUGCAGGCAUGAGUAGCGAUAAUUAAUGUGAGAAUCAUUAACGCCGUAAACCCAAGGUUUCCUACGCGAUGCUCGUCAUCGUAGGGUUAGUCGGGUCCUAAGUCGAGUCCGAAAGGGGUAGACGAUGGCAAAUUGGUUAAUAUUCCAAUACCAACAUUAGUGUGCGAUGGAAGGACGCUUAGGGCUAAGGGGGCUAGCGGAUGGAAGUGCUAGUCUAAGGUCGUAGGAGGUUAUACAGGCAAAUCCGUAUAACAAUACUCCGAGAACUGAAAGGCUUUUUGAAGUCUUCGGAUGGAUAGAAGAACCCCUGAUGCCGUCGAGCCAAGAAAAGUUUCUAAGUUUAGCUAAUGUUGCCCGUACCGUAAACCGACACAGGUGGGUGGGAUGAGUAUUCUAAGGCGCGUGGAAGAACUCUCUUUAAGGAACUCUGCAAAAUAGCACCGUAUCUUCGGUAUAAGGUGUGGUUAGCUUUGUAUUAGGAUUUACUCCGAAAGCAAGGAAACUUACAACAAAGAGUCCCUCCCGACUGUUUACCAAAAACACAGCACUCUGCUAACUCGUAAGAGGAUGUAUAGGGUGUGACGCCUGCCCGGUGCUCGAAGGUUAAUUGAUGGGGUUAGCAUUAGCGAAGCUCUUGAUCGAAGCCCGAGUAAACGGCGGCCGUAACUAUAACGGUCCUAAGGUAGCGAAAUUCCUUGUCGGUUAAAUACCGACCUGCAUGAAUGGCGUAACGAGAUGGGAGCUGUCUCAAAGAGGGAUCCAGUGAAAUUGUAGUGGAGGUGAAAAUUCCUCCUACCCGCGGCAAGACGGAAAGACCCCGUGGACCUUUACUACAGCUUGACACUGCUACUUGGAUAAGAAUGUGCAGGAUAGGUGGGAGGCUUUGAGUAUAUGACGCCAGUUGUAUAUGAGCCAUUGUUGAGAUACCACUCUUUCUUAUUUGGGUAGCUAACCAGCUUGAGUUAUCCUCAAGUGGGACAAUGUCUGGUGGGUAGUUUGACUGGGGCGGUCGCCUCCCAAAUAAUAACGGAGGCUUACAAAGGUUGGCUCAGAACGGUUGGAAAUCGUUCGUAGAGUAUAAAGGUAUAAGCCAGCUUAACUGCAAGACAUACAAGUCAAGCAGAGACGAAAGUCGGUCUUAGUGAUCCGGUGGUUCUGUGUGGAAGGGCCAUCGCUCAAAGGAUAAAAGGUACCCCGGGGAUAACAGGCUGAUCUCCCCCAAGAGCUCACAUCGACGGGGAGGUUUGGCACCUCGAUGUCGGCUCAUCGCAUCCUGGGGCUGGAGCAGGUCCCAAGGGUAUGGCUGUUCGCCAUUUAAAGCGGUACGCGAGCUGGGUUCAGAACGUCGUGAGACAGUUCGGUCCCUAUCUGCCGUGGGCGUAAGAAGAUUGAAGAGAUUUGACCCUAGUACGAGAGGACCGGGUUGAACAAACCACUGGUGUAGCUGUUGUUCUGCCAAGAGCAUCGCAGCGUAGCUAAGUUUGGAAAGGAUAAACGCUGAAAGCAUCUAAGCGUGAAGCCAACUCUAAGAUGAAUCUUCUCUAAGCUCUCUAGAAGACUACUAGUUUGAUAGGCUGGGUGUGUAAUGGAUGAAAGUCCUUUAGCUGACCAGUACUAAUAGAGCGUUUGGCUUAUCUUU
This 3055-nucleotide ribosomal RNA is filed under the name Campylobacter jejuni. Its description in RNAcentral is "23S ribosomal RNA". It matches the Rfam family "Bacterial large subunit ribosomal RNA". The record is from RNAcentral. Lineage: Bacteria; Pseudomonadati; Campylobacterota; Epsilonproteobacteria; Campylobacterales; Campylobacteraceae.